This 271-nucleotide ribosomal RNA is filed under the name uncultured prokaryote. RNAcentral's name for it is "partial 16S ribosomal RNA". It matches the Rfam family "Bacterial small subunit ribosomal RNA", at positions 524 to 794 of the family's 1533-position model. The record is from RNAcentral.
UACGGAGGAUCCGAGCGUUAUCCGGAUUUAUUGGGUUUAAAGGGUGCGCAGGCGGGAGAUUAAGUCGGCGGUGAAAUUUUGCAGCUCAACUGUAAAAGUGCCUUCGAAACUGGUUUCCUUGAGUGUAGAUGAAGUAGGCGGAAUUUGUGGUGUAGCGGUGAAAUGCAUAGAUAUCACGAGGAACUCCGAUUACGCAGGCAGCUUACUAAACUACUACUGACGCUCAGGCACGAAGGCGUGGGGAUCAAACAGGAUUAGAUACCCGCGUAGU